This 408-nucleotide ribosomal RNA is filed under the name uncultured bacterium. RNAcentral's name for it is "bacterial SSU rRNA". It matches the Rfam family "Bacterial small subunit ribosomal RNA", at positions 28 to 425 of the family's 1533-position model. The record is from RNAcentral.
GAUGAACGCUAGCUACAGGCUUAACACAUGCAAGUCGAGGGGCAGCAUAAACAUUGCUUGCAAUGUUUGAUGGCGACCGGCGCACGGGUGCGUAACGCGUAUGUAACCUACCUCAAACAGGGGCAUAACACUGAGAAAUUGGUACUAAUUCCCCAUAACACCUUGGGAGGCAUCUCCUGGGGUUGAAAAGUUUCCGGCGGUUUGAGAUGGACAUGCGUUGUAUUAGCUAGUUGGUGAGGUAACGGCUCACCAAGGCGACGAUACAUAGGGGGACUGAGAGGUUAACCCCCCACAUUGGUACUGAGACACGGACCAAACUCCUACGGGAGGCAGCAGUGAGGAAUAUUGGUCAAUGGACGCAAGUCUGAACCAGCCAUGCCGCGUGCAGGAUGACGGCUCUAUGAGUUG